AUUGAACGCUGGCGGCAGGCUUAACACAUGCAAGUCGAACGAGCGGCGGACGGGUGAGUAAUGUCUGGGAAACUGCCUGAUGGAGGGGGAUAACUACUGGAAACGGUAGCUAAUACCGCAUAACAUCAGAUGUGCCCAGAUGGGCUUAGCUGGUAGGUGGGGUAACGGCUCACCAAGGCGACGAUCCCUAGAUGGUCUGAGCGGAUGACCAGCCACACGUGAACUGAGACACGGUCCAGACUCCUGCGGGAGGCAGCAGUGGGGAAUAUUGCACAAUGGGCGCAAGCCUGAGGCAGCCAUGCAGCGUGUGUGAAGAAGGCCUUCGGGUUGUAAAGUACUUUCAGCGGGGAGGCGUUACUCGCAGAAGAAGCACCGGCUAACGCCGUGCCAGCAGCCGCGGUAAUUC
This 406-nucleotide ribosomal RNA is filed under the name uncultured bacterium. RNAcentral's name for it is "partial 16S ribosomal RNA". It matches the Rfam family "Bacterial small subunit ribosomal RNA", at positions 30 to 526 of the family's 1533-position model. The record is from RNAcentral.